GCGAGUGCGAGUCAGUGAGUGAAAAUGGCCGGGGCGGGAGGUCCCCACAGUGCUAACUCUCCGUGUAAUUUGUCUAGAAGUUUAGAUAGAAUACUUGUAGAUGCUCAGGCAACAUGUGAAUUAAAACUAAGUGGUCGAAAAUUAAAGGAAUACCCGAAAGGUGCUUCGAAAUACAACCUAAGUGAUACGGUCUUAGCAGGUAUGUUGGAGUUGCAAUCACGAUGAGAUACAGUGCUGCAGGUCGGUGCAGGUUUAUGGUGAGAGACAAUGGCAUUGCAUUGCAAACUAUUGUUAUCUUGCAAUUGUGUUAUCUGAUUGUUGGUUUGUGGUGUCGCCGGGUUCCUUUCUAUGAUAUGAUAAUGAUGACAAGUUGGUAUGAUAUUCCUUUAUAGAUGGUAGGGAUGCCAAGUAUUGUGAAGUGCUUUUCUUCUUCUUCUUCUUCUUCUUCUUCUUCUUCUUCUUCUUCUUCUUGAUAUGCUGAUAGGUAUGAGGGCAUCAUGGGGAGGGAUAUGAGGGUCUAACGAAGGAGGAAGAAGGGAAAUGAGAAGAAAAUACAUUAGUGAGAAAAAAUAAGGAAGAGGAGGAUUAAAGAGAAAACGAGAAGAUACCGC
This 611-nucleotide unclassified non-coding RNA is filed under the name Penaeus japonicus. RNAcentral's name for it is "dISP complex protein LRCH3-like, transcript variant X1". Lineage: Eukaryota; Metazoa; Arthropoda; Malacostraca; Decapoda; Penaeidae. The record is from RNAcentral.